RNAcentral lists this transfer RNA (69 nucleotides) under Glyptotermes sp. C TB-2014. RNAcentral's name for it is "tRNA-Cys". Lineage: Eukaryota; Metazoa; Arthropoda; Insecta; Blattodea; Kalotermitidae. The record is from RNAcentral.
GGCCUUGUAUUCAUAUUAGUGAUAACAGAAUGCAAUUCUGGAGGGACGAUUUAAGUUUCGUUAAGGCCU